RNAcentral lists this ribosomal RNA (1346 nucleotides) under uncultured bacterium. RNAcentral's name for it is "bacterial SSU rRNA". It matches the Rfam family "Bacterial small subunit ribosomal RNA", at positions 28 to 1381 of the family's 1533-position model. The record is from RNAcentral.
GACGAACGCUGUUGGCGUGCUUAACACAUGCAAGUCGAACGGAAAGGCCCUGCUUUUGUGGGGUGCUCGAGUGGCGAACGGGUGAGUAACACGUGAGUAACCUGCCCUUGACUUUGGGAUAACUUCAGGAAACUGGGGCUAAUACCGGAUAGGAGCUCCUGCUGCAUGGUGGGGGUUGGAAAGUUUCGGCGGUUGGGGAUGGACUCGCGGCUUAUCAGCUUGUUGGUGGGGUAGUGGCUUACCAAGGCUUUGACGGGUAGCCGGCCUGAGAGGGUGACCGGCCACAUUGGGACUGAGAUACGGCCCAGACUCCUACGGGAGGCAGCAGUGGGGAAUAUUGCACAAUGGGCGGAAGCCUGAUGCAGCAACGCCGCGUGCGGGAUGACGGCCUUCGGGUUGUAAACCGCUUUCGCCUGUGACGAAGCGUGAGUGACGGUAAUGGGUAAAGAAGCACCGGCUAACUACGUGCCAGCAGCCGCGGUGAUACGUAGGGUGCGAGCGUUGUCCGGAUUUAUUGGGCGUAAAGGGCUCGUAGGUGGUUGAUCGCGUCGGAAGUGUAAUCUUGGGGCUUAACCCUGAGCGUGCUUUCGAUACGGGUUGACUUGAGGAAGGUAGGGGAGAAUGGGAUUCCUGGUGGAGCGGUGGAAUGCGCAGAUAUCAGGAGGAACACCAGUGGCGAAGGCGGUUCUCUGGGCCUUUCCUGACGCUGAGGAGCGAAAGCGUGGGGAGCGAACAGGCUUAGAUACCCUGGUAGUCCACGCUGUAAACGGUGGGUACUAGGUGUGGGGUCCAUUCCACGGGUUCCGUGCCGUAGCUAACGCUUUAAGUACCCCGCCUGGGGAGUACGGCCGCAAGGCUAAAACUCAAAGGAAUUGACGGGGCCCCGCACAAGCGGCGGAGCAUGCGGAUUAAUUCGAUGCAACGCGUAGAACCUUACCUGGGUUUGACAUGGAUCGGGAGUGCUCAGAGAUGGGUGUGCCUCUUUUGGGGUCGGUUCACAGGUGGUGCAUGCCUGUCGUCAGCUCGUGUCGUGAGAUGUUGGGUUAAGUCCCGCAACGAGCGCAACCCUUGUUCACUGUUGCCAGCACGUUAUGGUGGGGACUCAGUGGAGACCGCCGGGGUCAACUCGGAGGAAGGUGGGGAUGACGUCAAGUCCUCAUGCCCCUUAUGUCCAGGGCUUCACGCAUGCUACAAUGGCUGGUACAGAGAGUGGCGAGCCUGUGAGGGUGAGCGAAUCUCGGAAAGCCGGUCUCAGUUCGGAUUGGGGUCUGCAACUCGACCUCAUGAAGUCGGAGUCGCUAGUAAUCGCAGAUCAGCAACGCUGCGGUGAAUACGUUCCCGGGGCU